Molecule: non-coding RNA, 161 nt
Filed under: chicken gut metagenome
Source: RNAcentral
CUUGAUGGUGCGUUUUAUAACGAUAAUAGGGAAUUAAGUGAAAAUCUUAAACAGUCCUUGCUGCCGUGAUGAAGUAGUUUAUUUAUAUUAUGCCACUGGAUUAUACUGGGAAGGCUUAAAUAAAUGUUGAUAUCUUAGUCGGAAUACCUGCCAAAAAUUUU